This 1107-nucleotide ribosomal RNA is filed under the name Staphylococcus pseudintermedius. Its description in RNAcentral is "bacterial SSU rRNA". It matches the Rfam family "Bacterial small subunit ribosomal RNA", at positions 1 to 1087 of the family's 1533-position model. The record is from RNAcentral. Lineage: Bacteria; Bacillati; Bacillota; Bacilli; Caryophanales; Staphylococcaceae.
UUUAUGGAGAGUUUGAUCCUGGCUCAGGAUGAACGCUGGCGGCGUGCCUAAUACAUGCAAGUCGAGCGAACAGAUAAGGAGCUUGCUCCUUUGACGUUAGCGGCGGACGGGUGAGUAACACGUGGGUAACCUACCUAUAAGACUGGAAUAACUCCGGGAAACCGGGGCUAAUGCCGGAUAACAUGUUGAACCGCAUGGUUCUACAGUGAAAGACGGUCUUGCUGUCACUUAUAGAUGGACCCGCGCCGUAUUAGCUAGUUGGUGGGGUAACGGCCUACCAAGGCGACGAUACGUAGCCGACCUGAGAGGGUGAUCGGCCACACUGGAACUGAGACACGGUCCAGACUCCUACGGGAGGCAGCAGUAGGGAAUCUUCCGCAAUGGGCGAAAGCCUGACGGAGCAACGCCGCGUGAGUGAUGAAGGUCUUCGGAUCGUAAAGCUCUGUUGUUAGGGAAGAACAAAUGUGUAAGUAACUGUGCACAUCUUGACGGUACCUAACCAGAAAGCCACGGCUAACUACGUGCCAGCAGCCGCGGUAAUACGUAGGUGGCAAGCGUUAUCCGGAAUUAUUGGGCGUAAAGCGCGCGUAGGCGGUUUUUUAAGUCUGAUGUGAAAGCCCACGGCUCAACCGUGGAGGGUCAUUGGAAACUGGAAAACUUGAGUGCAGAAGAGGAAAGUGGAAUUCCAUGUGUAGCGGUGAAAUGCGCAGAGAUAUGGAGGAACACCAGUGGCGAAGGCGGCUUUCUGGUCUGCAACUGACGCUGAUGUGCGAAAGCGUGGGGAUCAAACAGGAUUAGAUACCCUGGUAGUCCACGCCGUAAACGAUGAGUGCUAAGUGUUAGGGGGUUUCCGCCCCUUAGUGCUGCAGCUAACGCAUUAAGCACUCCGCCUGGGGAGUACGGUCGCAAGACUGAAACUCAAAGGAAUUGACGGGGACCCGCACAAGCGGUGGAGCAUGUGGUUUAAUUCGAAGCAACGCGAAGAACCUUACCAAAUCUUGACAUCCUUUGACCGCUCUAGAGAUAGAGUUUUCCUCUUCGGAGGACAAAGUGACAGGUGGUGCAUGGUUGUCGUCAGCUCGUGUCGUGAGAUGUUGGGUUAAGUCC